GUGCUUGCUUCGGCAGCAUAUAUACUAAAAUUGGAACAAUACAGAGAAGAUCAACAUGGCCCUUGUACAAGGAUGACAUGCAAAUUAGUGAUGCAUUCCAUAUUUGU
Small nuclear RNA from Oryctolagus cuniculus (rabbit), 107 nucleotides. Lineage: Eukaryota; Metazoa; Chordata; Mammalia; Lagomorpha; Leporidae. The record is from Ensembl.